GAAAGCUGAAAAGUACUCUUAAUCGAGUGUGAAAAGACUUGAAAUCUACUAGUGACAGCUGGUUACGGCAUUACGGUGUCGUAACGUACGUUUAGAAAAAUGGGCCAAGGAGUUUAUUCUUGUGGCGAGGUUAAAGAAAUGAAGCCGGAGCGAAAGCGAGUAUGAAAAUGCGUUAGUCACUGGGGUAAGACCCGAAGCUAGAUGAUCUAUUCGUGGGCAGGCUGAAGUUUUUCGAAAGGAAAAUGGAGGGCCGAACCGUUGUUGUGUGCAUGCACUCGAAUGACCUGCGAAUAGGGGUGAAAAGCCUAUCUAAUCUAGCGAUGGCUGGUUCCUGUCGAAAUAUGCCGAAGUAUAGUCUUGUUUAGUUGGGUAGCGAGGUAAAGUACGGAUAGAGUUUGCAGGGCGGAAACGUUACGGAACUCAUUCCAACUCUGAACUUGUUACCGACGUAAAACAGGAAUGGGGGUCAGUGCGUAAGGUACUGUUCCGAGACCCGAACAAGGGAGACUGGAGUUAAGGUCCCAAAAUGUAUGCUAAGUGUAACGAAGGGUGUCUUGAACCUAAGACAGUGGGGAUGUAGGCCCAGAAGCAGCCAUCAUUCAAAGAAAGCGUAAUAGCUCACCUAUUGAGGUUCGAGGCCCCGAAAAUGGACGGGGCUAAGCAUACUACCGAUACUCCAGAGGCGCUCGACAAUUUUUCAAUUUACCGUCGAGGGAAAUUGAAAAGACAGAUAAUCCGCAAGGAUUUUCUGGAUGUAUUUUGUGUCUUUUAGGUUUGAUAAUUUAUCACUCGAUAAAGGUUAUAAAUAGUAAACUUUAAAAACUCUUUAAAAUCUUAUUUUUCAUGACGCUAGGGGAAUCUUAUAGUGCAGCUGAAGUAAGAAGGAUGCUGGAAAUAGUUGAUAGAAUCCAUUUUAAUAAGGGGAUGUUAAAGUAUAUUGAUGGGGUUCUUGGACAAGAUAGAAGGUUGCCUGGUCUUAAAGAUCAGUAUCCUGAAUUUGCAGAGGAUUUAGCUAUUGCAAAGGAUAGAAGAGAUUUUGUAUAUGAAGGUCUUGAAUUUGCUUGUAGAGAAUUUCAUGAAAUACCAGAAAAAUUAACACUAACAUUAGAAGGGCUUGAUGUAGGAAAAAUUGAGUUAGAAUACGGAAUAGGCAUCGAUUCAUAAUUAUUCAUUUAUCACAAAUCAUAUUCAACUUUUGUUGAAAAUCAUAUUCAUUUCUAAAAGACACAAAAUACAUUUGUCAUAUUAUGAGCGUUCUGGUAGGCAGGCGUCUUUUCUGCGCAGAAGCGUUUCCGAGAGGAUGCGUGGAGCGGGAAGGAACGAGAAUCUUGGCGUUAGUAAGAUCAGAUUACUUUGAGAAUAAGUAGCACCGGAAGAGCAAGGUUUCCUUGGCACUAUCGUUUAACCAAGGGUUAGUCGGCUCCUAAGCCAUAUCUUAACUGCGUAUGGCGAAUGGGAAUCUGGUUAAUAUUCCAGAACUUGUUAAUCUUUGUUACAAAAUUUACUUUGGGAUAGGUAGGCAUUCGAGAGGAUGUUGAGUAGUAGAAGUCUGUGGAUCGUAAUGAAGCGAAGCAGAAGAACACUACGAAGGAAAGCUAUUGACUCCGAGGGUCCGUGAAAAGUUUUGUAGCGCGUGGGAUUAGCAAGCCGUACCCAGAAUCGACACUGAUGCUCUGGCUGAGUAGGCUAAGGUGUGAAAGGACAAACCAAUUAAGGGAAUUCGGCAAUCUCGCCCCGUAUCUUAGGUAUAAGGGGUGUCUAUAGAUGUGUUCAUUAGAAUGCAUCAGUAGAUCGCAGUGACAAGGACUGGCCGACUGUUUAUCAAAAACGUAGCUGAUUGCUAAUCCGAAAGGACGUGUAUAAUCGGUGAGAUCUGCCCAGUGGUGGGUUGUGAAACCUGGGUUCAACCGGGCUAAGCCCCACUAAACGGCGGGCCUAACUAUGAGGCUCUUAAGGUAGCGUAAUGCCUUGUCGUUUGAAUGGCGACGUGCAUGAACGGUUUAACGAGCUGGUCGCUGUCCCUAAUUGGAACCUUCUGAACUCACUUACCGGUGAAAAUGCCGGUGACGCCUAGUGGGAAGCGGAGACCUUGUGAACCUUUACUACAACUUGUUGUUGUGAUGUUAGGGAAGAUGCAUAGCAUAGGUAGGAGCGUCGAAGCCAACUUUCAGGAGUUGGUGGAGCGACCUUGUAAUACUACCCAUCUUUCUUGGCAUUGCUUACCUGAGAGGGGACACCAACAGGCGGGUAGUUUGCUGGGGCGGCACCCUGCAGAAAAGAUAUCUGUAGGGCCCAAAGACUAGCUCAUCCGGGUUGGAAAUCUGGAGUAGAGCGCGAGGGCAAAAGCUAGUCUGACUGUAUUUCGAAAAGCAAGAGAUGCAGGGAUGAAAGUCGGGCCUAGCGACCCCACGUGGCUUAUUAAUAGGGCCCGUGUGUGACAGAAAAGGUACUCCAAGGAUAACAGG
RNAcentral lists this ribosomal RNA (2465 nucleotides) under marine metagenome. RNAcentral describes it as "bacterial LSU rRNA". It matches the Rfam family "Archaeal large subunit ribosomal RNA", at positions 501 to 2550 of the family's 2987-position model. The record is from RNAcentral.